RNAcentral lists this ribosomal RNA (142 nucleotides) under Ciliophora sp. RNAcentral's name for it is "partial small subunit ribosomal RNA". It matches the Rfam family "Eukaryotic small subunit ribosomal RNA", at positions 1296 to 1463 of the family's 1831-position model. Lineage: Eukaryota; Ciliophora. The record is from RNAcentral.
AGUUGGUGGAGUGAUUUGUCUGGUUAAUUCCGUUAACGAACGAGACCUUAGCCUGCUAAAUAGUCAUGCGUAAUACCAUUGGUGUGACUUCUUAGAGGGACUUUGUACUAAAUACAAGGAAGUUUGAGGCAAUAACAGGUCU